This 570-nucleotide ribosomal RNA is filed under the name uncultured bacterium. RNAcentral describes it as "partial 16S ribosomal RNA". It matches the Rfam family "Bacterial small subunit ribosomal RNA", at positions 355 to 913 of the family's 1533-position model. The record is from RNAcentral.
UGGGGAAUAUUGGACAAUGGGCGCAAGCCUGAUCCAGCAAUGCCGCGUGUGUGAAGAAGGCCUUCGGGUUGUAAAGUACUUUUAUCAGGAGCGAAACGCUGUCGGCUAAUACCCGGCGGAACUGACGGUACCUGAGGAAUAAGCACCGGCUAACUUCGUGCCAGCAGCCGCGGUAAUACGAAGGGUGCAAGCGUUAAUCGGAAUUACUGGGCGUAAAGCGUGCGUAGGCGGUUUCUUAAGUCUGCUGUGAAAUCCCCGGGCUCAACCUGGGAAUGGCAGUGGAUACUGGGAGGCUAGNNAGUGUGUCAGAGGGUGGUGGAAUUCCCGGUGUAGCGGUGAAAUGCGUAGAGAUCGGGAGGAGCAUCAGUGGCGAAGGCGGCCACCUGGGACAACACUGACGCUGAGGCACGAAAAGCGUGGGGAGCAAACAGGAUUAGAUACCCUGGUAGUCCACGCCCUAAACGAUGCGAACUGGAUGUUGGUCUCAACUCGGAGAUCAGUGUCGAAGCUAACGCGUUAAGUUCGCCGCCUGGGGAGUACGGUCGCAAGACUGAAACUCAAAUGAAUUGA